GGACGACGCUCCGAAAAGGCCGGGCGGCAGCGCCCGACCACCGAAGGUGCAACCUCCCAAAGCGGAGGGAAUCUCUCAGGUAACUCAACGGGGCACAAAAC
Molecule: non-coding RNA, 101 nt
Filed under: Clostridiales sp. EM6
Lineage: Bacteria; Bacillati; Bacillota; Clostridia; Eubacteriales
Description: Clostridiales sp. Glycine sequence
Rfam family: Glycine riboswitch aptamer
About the family: This family represents the bacterial glycine riboswitch.
Source: RNAcentral